UAGGGAAUCUUCGGCAAUGGGGGCAACCCUGACCGAGCAACGCCGCGUGAGUGAAGAAGGUUUUCGGAUCGUAAAGCUCUGUUGUAAGAGAAGAACGUGUGUGAGAGUGGAAAGUUCACACAGUGACGGUAACUUACCAGAAAGGGACGGCUAACUACGUGCCAGCAGCCGCGGUAAUACGUAGGUCCCGAGCGUUGUCCGGAUUGAGUGGGCGUAAAGCGAGCGCAGGCGGUUUAAUAAGUCUGAAGUUAAAGGCAGUGGCUUAACCAUUGUUCGCUUUGGAAACUGUUAAACUUGAGUGCAGAAGGGGAGAGUGGAAUUCCAUGUGUAGCGGUGAAAUGCGUAGAUAUAUGGAGGAACACCGGUGGCGAAAGCGGCUCUCUGGUCUGUAACUGACGCUGAGGCUCGAAAGCGUGGGGAGCAAACAGG
This 429-nucleotide ribosomal RNA is filed under the name bacterium. RNAcentral's name for it is "partial 16S ribosomal RNA". It matches the Rfam family "Bacterial small subunit ribosomal RNA", at positions 355 to 776 of the family's 1533-position model. The record is from RNAcentral.